This 75-nucleotide antisense RNA is filed under the name Allonocardiopsis opalescens. RNAcentral's name for it is "ASpks TB sRNA". It matches the Rfam family "ASpks TB sRNA". The record is from Rfam by way of RNAcentral. Lineage: Bacteria; Bacillati; Actinomycetota; Actinomycetes; Streptosporangiales.
CUUGAGCGAGCCGAGAUACAGCGGCCGGUCAUCGGGCCGGUCCUGCCCGUAGGUGGCCAGGAGGGCCUGGGCCUC